CAGCGACGCCGCGUGAGUGAGGAAGGCCUUCGGGUCGUAAAGCUCUGUCAGAAGGGAGAAGUGUUAUACGGUUAACACCCGUAUAAUUUGACGGUACCUUCAGAGGAAGCACCGGCUAACUCCGUGCCAGCAGCCGCGGUAAUACGGAGGGUGCUAGCGUUGUUCGGAAUUACUGGGCGUAAAGGGCGCGUAGGCGGCUGGAUAAGUCAGAUGUGAAAGUCCACGGCUCAACUGUGGAAGUGCAUUUGAAACUGUCCGGCUUGAGUAUCGGAGGGGAGUGUGGAAUUCCCGGUGUAGAGGUGAAAUUCGUAGAGAUCGGGAGGAACACCGGUGGCGAAGGCGACACUCUGGACGAAUACUGACGCUGAGGCGCGAAAGCGUGGGGAGCAAACAGGAUUAGAUACCCUGGUAGUCCACGCCGUAAACGAUGUGAACUAGAGGUAGGUGGUGUUGAUCCCACCUGUCUCGCAGCUAACGCAUUAAGUUUACCGCCUGGGGAGUACGGUCGCAAGAUUA
Molecule: ribosomal RNA, 516 nt
Filed under: uncultured Pseudomonadota bacterium
Lineage: Bacteria; Pseudomonadati; Pseudomonadota
Description: bacterial SSU rRNA
Rfam family: Bacterial small subunit ribosomal RNA
Source: RNAcentral